This is a long non-coding RNA of Enhydra lutris kenyoni (northern sea otter), 314 nucleotides long. RefSeq lists it as uncharacterized. The record is from RefSeq and is a predicted model, not a curated record. The transcript has 3 exons. Lineage: Eukaryota; Metazoa; Chordata; Mammalia; Carnivora; Mustelidae.
GCUUUGGGUCCAAUCAGAUGACGGAUCUUAUCAGCUGAGGAAUUUGUCCUGAUGUCUGGAUUUUAGCUGAGUUUGGUGUCCAGUGUUGUAAAGUAAGAUGGUUGAAGGCAAAGGCAGAGAUUACCUGUAUUGAUGAACUAGACAGUGUGUUCACUAAGUUUCAAAAUCUUCCAGAACUUUUUCUUGCAAAUGAAUGCUACAGAUGGAGAAAAUGCCAGGGUUUGAACUAUUAACUGAAGAACAUAAAGGGGGGAAGGAAAAGAUGAAAUAAAAAGAUGAAAUGACUGCACUCUGAAGGAUCUCAGUCUAGUCGG